CAAUAGCGUAUAUUAAAGUUGUUGCAGUUAAAAAGCUCGUAGUUGAAUUUUUGCUUGCCGCCGAUGUCGGAACUUCCGUACGUUCGGCGGCGUGCAUCCUUGGGUGGAACCUGUGUGGCAUUAGGUUGUCGUGCAGGGGAUGCUCAUCGUUUACUGUGAAAAAAUUAGAGUGUUCAAAGCAGGCUUAUGCCGUUGAAUAUAUUAGCAUGGAAUAAUAAGAUAGGACCUUGGUACUAUUUUGUUGGUUUGCGCACCGAGGUAAUGAUUAACAGGGACAGUUGGGGGUAUUCGGAUUCCAUUGUCAGAGGUGAAAUUCUUGGAUUUCUGGAAGACGAACUACUGCGAAAGCAUUUACCAAGGAUGUUUUCAUUA
RNAcentral lists this ribosomal RNA (372 nucleotides) under uncultured eukaryote. RNAcentral describes it as "partial 18S ribosomal RNA". It matches the Rfam family "Eukaryotic small subunit ribosomal RNA", at positions 592 to 975 of the family's 1831-position model. The record is from RNAcentral.